AUUGAACGCUGGCGGCAUGCCUUACACAUGCAAGUCGAACGGCAGCACGGGAGCAAUCCUGGUGGCGAGUGGCGAACGGGUGAGUAAUACAUCGGAACGUGCCCAGUAAUGGGGGAUAACCCGGCGAAAGCCGGACUAAUACCGCAUACGACCUACGGGUGAAAGCGGGGGAUCGCAAGACCUCGCGUUAUUGGAGCGGCCGAUGGCAGAUUAGCUAGUUGGUGGGGUAAAAGCCUACCAAGGCGACGAUCUGUAGCUGGUCUGAGAGGACGACCAGCCACACUGGGACUGAGACACGGCCCAGACUCCUACGGGAGGCAGCAGUGGGGAAUUUUGGACAAUGGACGCAAGUCUGAUCCAGCCAUGCCGCGUGUGGGAAGAAGGCCU
RNAcentral lists this ribosomal RNA (387 nucleotides) under uncultured bacterium. RNAcentral's name for it is "bacterial SSU rRNA". It matches the Rfam family "Bacterial small subunit ribosomal RNA", at positions 29 to 417 of the family's 1533-position model. The record is from RNAcentral.